AGGGUGGACGAGGAUGACAUCGUCUCCCACAUCCUAGCUGGGCUUGAAGAAGACUUCGACCCGGUGCUUUCUGCCAUGUGCUCCCAGGUGGAACCGGUGACUGUGGCCGAGCUGUACUCACAGCUGCUCAGCUUCGAGA
Molecule: small nucleolar RNA, 139 nt
Filed under: Triticum aestivum (bread wheat)
Lineage: Eukaryota; Viridiplantae; Streptophyta; Magnoliopsida; Poales; Poaceae
Also listed under: 1 other name
Description: Small nucleolar RNA Z247
Rfam family: Small nucleolar RNA Z247
About the family: Z247 is a member of the C/D class of snoRNA which contain the C (UGAUGA) and D (CUGA) box motifs. Most of the members of the box C/D family function in directing site-specific 2'-O-methylation of substrate RNAs.
Source: Rfam by way of RNAcentral